UACGAAGGGAGCUAGCGUUGUUCGGAAUUACUGGGCGUAAAGGGCGCGUAGGCGGUUUUGUAAGUUAGGUGUGAAAUCCCCGGGCUUAACCUGGGAACUGCAUUUAAGACUACAAGACUAGAGGACGAGAGAGGAAAGUGGAAUUGAGAGUGUAGAGGUGAAAUUCGUAGAUAUUCUCAAGAACACCAGUGGCGAAGGCGACUUUCUGGCUCGUAUCUGACGCUAAGGCGCGAAAGCGUGGGGAGCAAACAGG
RNAcentral lists this ribosomal RNA (253 nucleotides) under uncultured bacterium. RNAcentral describes it as "partial 16S ribosomal RNA". It matches the Rfam family "Bacterial small subunit ribosomal RNA", at positions 524 to 776 of the family's 1533-position model. The record is from RNAcentral.